CGUUCCAACACCUGCUAAUUACUUCGGAACGCUGGGAAUAUUGAUGGCAGUGUUUAGACGAGAAAUUGUUACUCGACCGUCAUUGUCAUCCCCGUAAUUACCGGUCACGGAAUGAUUAUUGACUCGCCACGAUGCUGAUUACAACGACGGGCAGCGACAGUGUUCAUUGCGUGCCGCCGGCCUAUUAAUACGUUUCUUUUGCGAGCGUGUUGCCGAGGUCAUGGAUGGAACAGAGAGAAACAUCGACACUCUUAUAUACACCGCAUCGUGGAUCUUCAUUUUGAAUUAUGCCUUAUUGUGCCUCGUCUCGAAUCGCGACUGGCAUUGUGCUAAGGAUACGUGGACGUGAUUGUUUGCCUUUGACUCGAGUCACACCCUGGGUCAAUAUAUUCCUCGUGGCGAGUGUAGUGCGGCCAUUGCUGGCACACGGAAGCAUAUCGUCUAUCGCUUCGAGACGGAUGACCUUCCGAAGGUCAGCGCCUUUACUCCUUGAAGCCAUGCAGUUACACGCAAUAGUAUUCCGUCAAUAAUCCUGUACGUGUAACAAAUUGAAUGCAUUUAAUUAAGUUUCGGAUGGCACGGCAGCAUCAGUGGAAUAAUAUAAAGUAUGGACGGAUGGUAAUGCAAAUAAUUAACAACUGUUGAAGGUUGCAAUUAUCAAAAAUGAUCGAGAUGAUUGAUCGAAACCUACUUGUCAAUCCGUCCUUGCAAAAGAUCCCUCGGCUAGCCUCAAGGAUGACCAGUAAUAAUUCUUCAGGAACUAGAAUAUCGAUCCUGCCGCCUAACGACGUGUCAUUCCAAACAGAUCCCACGAUCCCGAUGCUUACGUAAAUAAUUGCCGUUCCAGUUUGUUUGCACGUCGCAUUUGCACGCUUAAGACUUGAUUGCACCGUUGACGGCGACGUUACGGAACGCAGCCCUACUCCAUGUUAAAAGGCAAUCCCAUCCAGAAGUGGUACAGUGUCGACCUUGUUUUGCAACAAUGUUAUGGAUGUACCACAUGUUAUUACAAGGAAUGUGCAAUGUCGAAAAGAGAAUGGUAAUAAUUUUCGUGGCGAUGCCAGGAACACGACUCGAGACGUUCCUUCUUUUCUGGUAUAGUAUUUAUUUUAUUAACACAUAACACGUCCGCGUAAUGAUAAAUUUUUGAAUGUAUUCCUAACAUUUCAAUAUUUUUAUAAAUCAAGUUAUAACAUUAUAAACAUAGAAGAAUUCCCUUCUUUUACUUACUACAAUAAUCGAAUGUCGUAGGAAGCCGUAUCGGGGAAUGAAAUCCAAUUCCAAUUAAUUUCUUCUUGACUGAGUGGCAACUUGUUUACAAUUUUAAAAUCGGUAUCCUUAAAAAUAACUCUCCCGCUUCAUUGUUCUUCUUCUCCAACAACAUCAUUCCUCAUCAGUCGAAUCGUCAUGCCAUCUACCAAUGAAACACGCGCUGACUCUCAAUCACCUUGGUCCGCAUUGAGAAGGAAAAAGAAAGAAAAAAAAAAAAAAGGAUCGUUCGAGACGCGCCACGGUGGUCAUUAUCAUCAUCAAUCGACCUAUAAAUAAUCAUGAGCCUCUGUAAAGGGAAGCGACUUAAUGAAAAUGUCAAUGACGCCGCAAAAACGAUCCUCUUCGUUCUGGCAUGGCGUUAUUCAAUGCUCGUACGCGGCCGCGGUCACAGGCGCGACUUCUUGUCUCUCGGUUGCACGCUCUUUUUCACUCGGUUGAUUUGCGCGCUGAGCAUUAUUCGUCAUUGCGGACACCUCGAUCACACCCUGCAUAAAGAAACUUGCCAUUCCGCGUUUCGAGACCGGAGAAUCGCGGUUUCGAUCCUCAUUUCCGUUUCGUCCGCCAGAUGGCUCAAUUUUUCCGCCGCCAUAUUGCCGUCCGCCGCUUGUCCACGCCGUUUUCCCCUCUGCUUUUUAUCCCGUGUAUUUUUUACUCGCUGCUGUUUUCUUUCGAUUUUUCUUUUCGUCCUUUCCCCCCCCCCUUCCUUCGUUAUUGCUUUAUUACGUUUGUUCGAUAUGUUUAAAUGAAUUGGAAGCGUGAAUCUCGUUAUCGUCUUUGAUUUUUAUUGCGGUUAGGAAUUAUUGGAGAAAAGAUGUUGGGCUUUCGAUUCGAACGAUUAGAAAUAAUCUAAAGUUGGCUCGAUCAAAACGAUAUUGUCGAUAACCGUUAAUGAAAUUAUUUUAAAUUAGGAAAUAAUUAUUGUCGAUGACAGGAAAAUUUGUUUGCUUUCGACCAUAGCGUGUUGAUUGAAGAACGAGAUAGAAUUCAAUUCAGAGUUUGAAAAAUUAUAGGGAUGCUUUCGUAUCUUACUUACUUAUUAACUUGGCAAUAAUUAACUUAUAGAGUUUUAUAAUUUAUCAAUUAAAAAUCUCUCUCGUGACACAUUCUACUCUUUUAUAAUCUAUAAUUAUUAGGUAUUUAAAAACACUUGCCAAUUUACUCUCUGUAACAGGGACGGGACAAGCGGGAAGCGAGUUAUAUUCGUAGCGGUACUUCUAGUUCUCGCCACCAUGGGGUUUCUAGCGUGACAACGGAACCUCUGUUUCUUGCGAUUCCUAUAUCCAAUCAUAUAUCCAUCAGAAUAAAUCAUUUCCUUAUAAGUUAAAUAAAAAAAAAAAAAUACGCGUUUCGUCUUAAGCAAGAAAUUAAAUUAUUACAAUAAUUGCAAAAAAAAAUUCAAUACUAAUCAAAAAAUUUUUCCAUCCAUCUUUUUAUAAUGUUUCAAUAUCCAUCUUAUCAUUUUCUUCAUCUUAUUAUCCAUCAUCAAUCGUUUCACAUCGAAAUCCUUUCAAUUAACAUUAUACUCCAGUUUCCAAAAAAAAAAAAGUUUAAAAUGAGAAACUUCAACCCUCUGUUAAUCUCUGUAAACAACUUCCUUUCAAUUCUUUCAAUCAUUUUAAAUUCAACAUCAUCAACAAUUUCUUACCAUCAUUCCAGAUCCAACUUUCUCAUCGAAAUCCCUUAAUUAAACAUCCAGUUUCCUCCUCCUCCUCCUCCUCCUCAAGUGGAAAAUCUAAAAAAACCUCGAAGCCGUCCAUACUCGAAACGUGCAAUCCACGUUCAAACCUUUCCUCUCGAAACCUCGUCUCCGUCGCAAGAAGCAGAAGCCUCCCGUGUGGUCCCCGUGCUUUUUUUUACAGCCCUGGUACUGGUUCACCAGCUCCACCAACUUCGUUAGUCCAAGGCUGCAGGCGAUGCGGCCUUGUAUUCGUUCCUAGCUCGUAAAUUGCGCAACACUUGGUCCAAAGCCUCGAUCGUUAUUAUUAAUAUUUAACAAUGCAAACAGUUGGAUGGUGCGCGCGAAACCAAGCGAGAAUCGUUCGCCAUUUAAGGGCGCACCGUCACGACGUGGCGCGGUAACCCGCAGAAAUUAACGCUUUGCAACGGAAUAAACGUCGAAACACAGAUUUACGUUGGCCUUCGCGCGCCACUAUUACACGUGCACACAUUUAAACUUGCUAAGUGUUACUUUAACAGAGAGAAGCAGAGGGAGAGAGAGAGAGAGAGAGAGAGAGAGAGAGAGAGAGAGAGAGAGAGAGAGAGAGGGAAUGCAUACCAAAUACGUGAGUCAUUUCACGGUGUGGCUACUUUGUUUUCUGCUUUAACGCGCCCCCUAUCCUCGCAAAAAGCCUCUAUCGCGGCCGGGCUGAUAAGUUACUCUUCUAAGAGCCACUACUUUCGAGCCUCGUUUCUUUCUCUUCUUGCGGAUAGAAUUGAAACGAGGCGAGGCCCUCGCCUACGGGAAACAAUGAUGAUUUUUAUCACGGCUGCACGCUUUUAACGCGACAGCCCGGGGACGGGGGAUGGUGGUUGAGUCGAUGAACCUGGCGGCCGUGAGAUACCGGCGUUUUAGGUUAGGUUGUUAAGCGAUCGUUUUUUGUUGUAAUUUCAUCGUGUAAUUUCACGAGGGAUUUGGAAUCUGAAACUGUGCCGGAGUUGAUUUAAUUGUUGAUUGUUGUGUUAAGUGUGCGUGAUUGAAUUACGUGAAAAAAGGAUAAUUGAGUAUGAAUAAAUUAGUAUAGAGUAUAAUAAAGGUUUAUGCAUUUAUCGAAACUAAGAAAAAAGUAAUUCAAGAUUGAUAAUACAUUAAUAAUUUAUAAAUUUUUCUGUUGGUAAUAAAGAUCUUUACUAAUUAGAAUGUUCAUGAAUAUAUUAACUAUAAUUUAUAAAAUAAAAAGGAAUUCUUCGUGGUUGAUUGUUAGAAUUUUUCCAUAAUAUUAUAUCUUUUUUUCUAUAGUAUUUUUUUAUUAAAAAAACACAUCGAUUUGGAUUUUCUAUAAUCCUUGCUAUAUAUAUGUGAACGUCUUUGAAACAUGCACAAGCAAUAAAAUGCAUUUUUAAAAAUGAAUACCUAUUUGCAUAAGAUAUUCUUAUGUGAAAUAUGUAUGAUCCAAACGUCGUGCAACAAUAUGACGACUGUUUUGAAAGUUUUACCGGUAUCAUCUUAUCGCGUUUC
This is a long non-coding RNA of Apis laboriosa (Himalayan honeybee), 4447 nucleotides long. RefSeq lists it as uncharacterized. The record is from RefSeq and is a predicted model, not a curated record. The transcript is spliced from 3 exons. NCBI's taxonomy places the organism in Eukaryota, Metazoa, Arthropoda, Insecta, Hymenoptera, Apidae.